Molecule: ribosomal RNA, 122 nt
Filed under: Staphylococcus aureus
Lineage: Bacteria; Bacillati; Bacillota; Bacilli; Caryophanales; Staphylococcaceae
Source: RNAcentral
UAUGUCUGGUGACUAUAGCAAGGAGGUCACACCUGUUCCCAUGCCGAACACAGAAGUUAAGCUCCUUAGCGUCGAUGGUAGUCGAACUUACGUUCCGCUAGAGUAGAACGUUGCCAGGCAGU